Molecule: ribosomal RNA, 231 nt
Filed under: uncultured bacterium
Lineage: Bacteria
Description: partial 16S ribosomal RNA
Rfam family: Bacterial small subunit ribosomal RNA
Source: RNAcentral
CGGGACGGGUGAGUAAUGUCUGGGAAACUGCCCGAUGGAGGGGGAUAACUACUGGAAACGGUAGCUAAUACCGCAUAACGUCGCAAGACCAAGAGGGGACCUUCGGGCCUCUUGCCAUCGGAUGUGCCCAGAUGGGAUUAGCUAGUAGGUGGGGUAACGGCUCACCUAGGCGACGAUCCCUAGCUGGUCUGAGAGGAUGAUCAGCCACACUGGGACUGAGACACGGCCCAG